UCCCUGCCCAUCCUGCCUUCAGGCCCUCUCUGCCCAGGCCUCUUCGACAUCCGCGGCUCCCCCACCGGUGGGGCCGGGGGCUCCCGCGGACCCCUUCCGCCCCUGUCUUCGUGCCGCCGCACGGGGAUGUCCAGGGGGCCUGGGAGGAGCCUUGUCGGGGGCCUCUCCGCUCCCUGGCCGCCCACCCGCCUGCUGCCGCUGCCCCCGGACAAACCGUUUGGCGUAAACCUCUGGGCUUCUGGACCAAGUUCGAUGUGGCCGACUGGCUGGAGGUGGCUGGGCCUGGCGAGCACCGGGCCCGCUUCCUGGACCACAGAGAUCGAGCGGCUCCCACCUGCCCGCCUUGACCAAGGAGGACUAUGUGGACCUGGGGGUCACCAGGGUGGGCCACCGCAUGAACAUCGACCGGGCUCUCAAGUUUUUCCUGGAGAGGUGAUGGCUGGCCUGGACGGACCGGCCGUCCACAGAACCCUGCCGCCAGCGCCUCUCACCUCCCGUUCUCGCCGGGCAGGGACUCUGCCGGAACUGCGCCCUGCCCUGUCUCCCGAGGCCUGAGGUCACCAGGUGGCCCCAUCCGGGCCGGACACUUGCACCUCACAGGAGGGGGGCGGCUGACACAGGACUUCGAAAGUGACGUGUGGGGAGCGGCGGGGAGGGACGGAGGAAUCGCCGGGACUGAGGAGGAGGAAGGGUCGAUCCUGGGGGAGGGGACAGACAGAGCCAUAGAGGGCCAGCCCUGAGCCUGACCGGAUGGGGGCGACCCCAGGCCGCAGGGGAGGGGUGCCCUCACAUUCCACCACCUGCGCCCCUCUAGCAGCCUUCCCGCCUCCCCAGCACACAGCUGCCCUCCCCCGCCUCUGCUCGCUCGGCUCCGUUGCACGCCUGCUCGCCCUCUCCUCCCCUCAGCUGCAGCUUUGCACAAAUCUGCCCUCACUGUCUCCGCACACUCCGCCUUCCCGCCCGCCCAGCUCGGCUUUCCUUGCACAUGUUUCUUUCCUCAUGCCUCCACUCCUCCGCACACCCCUUCUCCUGGGGCCCCUCAUGCAGUCUCCAGACCGCCCUCCGCUCACGCCGGUCCCGUGAUGCAGACACACGCGGGACCCAGCUUGCGGGAACCCCCAGCCCCCGCCGCGGCCUGGACCUGCGCAUUCCCUCCCCCAGGGACCCUGUCUUUGCUCAGCUCUCGUGCGCUCGCUGUCGUCUGCUCCCCGAGAUACGCGCACCUCCAUCCUCCUACACGGAGGUGCUUUCCCCCUCUGAUCAUGAACCCCACAUUCUCGCUCUGCUCACAGUGACCCCUGCCCUCUUGCACUGUCACUUUGGCCACUCGCCCCUGCGGAACUGCUGCUCACAGCCGCGCGGCCCAUCUCCGCCCUCUCCCACACGCACCUUCCCCAUGCGCUCCCUGACGGAUCCCGGGGCCCUCUUUCCUUUUGUAACGCACCCAGACAUUGCUGCACACUCCCGCUUUCUGCUAACUCCUCGGCGACUUCCCCACCUGCCCCGAGGCCCCACCCCUCCUGGGCACGCUCGCCCUUCCCACGUGCACUGGGGCUGCGCUGCCGUCUGCCCCGAUGCCCGCCUCUUCCACCUAGCUCCCAGCUCACCAGGCUUCUUCUCUCCUCCGCUCACCUGCCACGUCCUCCCCGGGCCAUCUUCCCACCCAUUUUGCACGAGGAGCCCCUUCUGGCCUUUCCUCCCCUCCCAGACCCCCUCCCUCCAGCAUGGCCGCUCCGUCCCGCACGCUGCCCCUACCCCUUAUUCCUGGGGCUUGGGAAUUUUAAAGCCACCUCUCCCCCCUUGGAAGCCCCUUCCCCUGCUGCGGGUAAAGGGGGAGGGCACUGCCCUCAGGUUCCCCCCAUGUUCAGCUGCCAAAGAAGGGCGCUCCCCUCCUUCCCCACGCCCAUCCCCCUCUGCUGCCCCUACCCCCACGGUGGGGAGGCGCUCCGUCCACGAGGGGAGGGGCAGCCCUCCCCUCACCAUGUCAGGGAUCUGCGGGGAACCUUGUGGGAGGGUCGCGGGAGGGGGAGGGGGUGGCAGGACAGAAGCAGAGGUCGUGCGCUGGGCCCCUACCGCCCCCCUCCCCCUCCCCCUGGUCGGAUGCCCCCAGUCCGCAGGGGGCCUGCGCCGGCGCCUGUCUAUCAAGGGCUUGUUCAUUCUGGAUGGGGUGCCGCGGGGUUGGGAGGGUGUUGGGG
Molecule: long non-coding RNA, 2195 nt
Filed under: Heterocephalus glaber (naked mole-rat)
Lineage: Eukaryota; Metazoa; Chordata; Mammalia; Rodentia; Bathyergidae
Description: lncRNA (ENSHGLG00000045993.1)
Source: RNAcentral